UGAGCAAUCUGCCCUUCUCUUCGGAAUAAGCGUUGGAAACGACGUCUAAUGCCGAAUACGACCUCCUUUCGCAUGAUCGGAGGUGGAAAGCUCCGGCGGAGAAGGAUGAGCUCGCGGCCUAUCAGCUAGUUGGCGGGGUAAUGGCCCACCAAGGCGACGAUCAGUAGCUGGUCUGAGAGGAUGACCAGCCACACGUGGGACUGAGACACCGGCCCAGACUCCGUAACGGGG
Molecule: ribosomal RNA, 231 nt
Filed under: uncultured bacterium
Lineage: Bacteria
Description: partial 16S ribosomal RNA
Rfam family: Bacterial small subunit ribosomal RNA
Source: RNAcentral